Molecule: transfer RNA, 77 nt
Filed under: Minisyncoccota bacterium
Lineage: Bacteria; Bacillati; Minisyncoccota
Description: tRNA-Ile
Rfam family: tRNA
About the family: Transfer RNA (tRNA) molecules are approximately 80 nucleotides in length.
Source: RNAcentral
GGGUGUGUAGCUCAGUUGGUUAGAGCGCAGUCCUGAUAAGACUGAGGUCCUCGGUUCGAUUCCAAGUACACCCACCA